This 465-nucleotide ribosomal RNA is filed under the name uncultured bacterium. Its description in RNAcentral is "partial 16S ribosomal RNA". It matches the Rfam family "Bacterial small subunit ribosomal RNA", at positions 28 to 507 of the family's 1533-position model. The record is from RNAcentral.
GAUGAACGCUGGCGGCGUGCUUAACACAUGCAAGUCGAACGGAAAGGCUCCUGCUUGCCGGGGUACUCGAGUGGCGAACGGGUGAGUAACACGUGGGUGAUCUGCCCUGCACUUCGGGAUAAGCCUGGGAAACUGGGUCUAAUACCGGAUAGGACCACAUUUUGGAUGGUGUGGUGGAAAGUUUUUCGGUGUGGGAUGAGCUCGCGGCCUAUCAGCUUGUUGGUGGGGUAAUGGCCUACCAAGGCGUCGACGGGUAGCCGGCCUGAGAGGGUGUACGGCCACAUUGGGACUGAGAUACGGCCCAGACUCCUACGGGAGGCAGCAGUGGGGAAUAUUGCACAAUGGGCGCAAGCCUGAUGCAGCGACGCCGCGUGGGGGAUGACGGCCUUCGGGUUGUAAACUCCUUUCGCCAGGGACGAAGCGCAAGUGACGGUACCUGGAGAAGAAGCACCGGCUAACUACGUG